This 9145-nucleotide long non-coding RNA is filed under the name Xyrichtys novacula (pearly razorfish). The record is from RNAcentral. Lineage: Eukaryota; Metazoa; Chordata; Actinopteri; Labriformes; Labridae.
UGUAGCUACUGAUCCUAUACUACAGCAGAAAGAGUGAGAGUGAAAGGGAGGAGGGACAUCAGGUGUCACAGCUCUGCAACCCCAGUUGAGGCUGCAUUACCACGACAACCAGCUCCAGGGGUGCCGCCAGGUGAGUCUGAGGACACGCACGUACACUCACACAGAUGCUCUUUGACAUAUGCCGCACAUGUGCACAAUGAAGUGCAUCCACAUUGUUUUCACAUAGGGAUGAGUCAAAUAAAAUAGAUGUACAUAUACAGGUGUGCGGCUGCUGAUGCGCUCCACGAUGUUGGUAUUGUCACUUUUCGCAGCCAAUGUUUCAACUCUGCACUCAAGUGUAACAGUGUAUUGUGUAAGCGUGUGCGUUGUUGCUGUCAGUGUGUGUGUGCGUACAUUUGUAGUCAUGCCAAAGUGUACAGUAUAUGUGUGUGUGUGUGUGUACAUACGCCAUACCUCCCCCAGUGGUGGUGAGAGACAAAGGGUCCCCUCUGUCUGGCGCUGUAGCACCGCUUACACGGCUGAUGAUGAUGGGUGGGAAAGUUCUCUCGAUCAGCGAUCAUGUCUGAUCGGAAAAAGAGAAGAAGUCAAAUAGGGUGCUCCAACCCCCCGACCCACCACCACCCUCCCCCCCAUUGCUGUCGAACACUCCUGACUCACGAUGAUAGGAGGACAUGGUCACAGCAGAUGAUCACCCGGUGGGUGGGGGUUGGGGUUGUGGUAGGGGUGGUGGUGUGUUCUGAGGACACGGAGGCGGUGAGGAGGGGAAGGGGGAUGGUGGAGGUGAUGGUCAUGACACUACUGUAGUAUGUGAUGGACGUAUUAUAGAGACACAUGUGUCUAAGGAGGGGUCAUCUACCAUGCACAUGACUGCCCGUGUGAGUGCGUGUGUGUGUGUGUGUGUGUGUGUGUAAGAGAAAGAGAGAUUGUUCGUUCUUGUGAAUGGAAAAGUGUGGGAGCAGGAGCGUAAUGUGCCAAACGGCAAGCCAUCACUGACCGAUAAACUCAGACAAAGGGCGGCGGAUCAUAUGUGCAGACUCAUGUCAUACUCUCGGUAAGUGUGUGUGCGUGUAUGUGUGAGACUUGGGAGAUGGGGGAGGGCUCUGAUGUGAAAUGGUCACGUAUAAGCUGGGCAUCUCUGUCAGCAUGUGUGCGUACAGUGUGUCUGAUCAUGUCUGAGCUUGUCCUGUAAAAAGGUGGCAUUUUUCCUCCAGAAGAUCACGUGCGCAUUGCGCUGCCCUGUUCUCAGUCCUCUCUACCUCUCGGUGCCUGAUGCCCCGACUGUCCCGUUUGGAAGCUGGUCAUCAUCCCACCCCGACUCUACGCCGUCAUACAACGCCACCAGAGCAUGUUCUCUGAGGGAUGUAGACUGUUUCAACCUUGUCAAUUCAGAGCUAGAUUGUCGUCCUCUCUAAACUACUAGCCAUAGAUGCGCUCUUAUCCUUACGUGGCCUUUGUUCAACGUUGCCUAUGCGAUUGCAGGUCUUUGUGCCAAGGCUGCAGUCGUGUGUAGUUUGUCAAGAUGUAGUCCGGUGUUUUAAGGACAGGUCAAAUCUUCACAAAUGCUGAAUCAGAUGGAUAAACUCAUAAAUGACAGUAUACCAUUCAAAGAACGCAGUUUUUGGCUUUCAGAAUGUCCCAUUAUCUCUUAUGCAAGAAUUGACAAUUCCAUCUCUUCCUGAUCAAUUUUAGUUAGUGCCGUGAGGGUGAGACAAAUUAGGUUAGAGAGGGUUUUCAUGGUUGGAGAGCUGACCUUCUACUCUGGGCAUGCAGGUGCAAAGGUCAUACAUUCACUUGCAAUGACACCAGACCGUUCUUUAUGCUGUAACUUGGAAAAACAUAAUUUCUCAAGCAGAAAUGUCCCCCGUCGUUUAACAGAAGUUACAUUAUGAGAUAGCGUGGUGCGUGACAGGUGUGGGCUGUGUUCCUGCUCUGUUCUUUGAGUAUUGUAUACAUCAACGAGAGCGGCAAAAACCACAUUUUAAGCCCACAGCUUCCUUCAAAACGAAAUUAACAGUAACCAAACUGCAGAGUCUGCGUGUAAAAAUGGUGGCGACGAGAACAGGCUGUACAUUUCUCUUUCAGUGCCCUUCUCUUCUUCCUCUCUCUCUCCAUUUCAUCUCGCUGCCUCCCUCCUCUUCCAUUUUAUUCCAUUUCUCACCCUUCCCAUUUCCUCUCUUUUCUCUGAGUUCACAUGCACACACUCAUCCCCCUCCUCCAUAUGUGAGCUCUGACAGUCUGUAGGGCGUGCCCCCCCCCACCAUCCGCUACAUACAUUACAACGAGCCAUGCAGCAUACGUACAUUUACGCCAAGUACAGUCCACACAUGGCUGCACAAUCAGCGACACGCUGGCCGUCAUAUAUGUCCUGGUUUGCACCGUGGGGCCUCUCAAUUGGAAAAGGACAUCGGAGACACAGAGUCAAGAUCCUUUUUCUAGAUUUUGUCCACUGUGUUCGGUGAGUGUAGUGGCACAGUGACUGGAGUAGUACUUAGUUUCAUGUAUGAUGUUGUAACAGGAAAUGUUUGCCAAAGCUACAAUUACACUAAUUGAACACUCCGAAGCAGCCUUGCAAAAUGGCUGCCGAGCCGGCACCCAGUCUGUGAUGGCCGACAAGAAUGAGUAGGUAGGUCUGAGGUGUGUGCGUGGAUAUAGCUGCGCAUGUUUAUACGCAAGUCUUAGAUUGUACGCCUGCUCGUAUACGUGUGUGCUUUUUGUGUUUUUGUGCUAACAUAAUGUGAGAGUAAUCUUUUUACUGACAGCUUUGUGUCAUGGGAAGUCAUCGCUCACCAGAGAUCUGCUAAUCCAUAAUUGCUCAGCUUAAUAUACUUAAACUAUAGGAGCCAUUAAGCCAAACCACCUUCUGUUAAUGCUCAUGUUUGUGUUAACCGGUAAAAGGUGCUAUGAGUAGGCUUUCUGGAUUAGACAGCGAUGGUACCGGGAGUCGCUAGUCUUCCUGUAGUUUCUUGUCCACCAUCUUCAAAAUGUCGGCAUUUUCAAAGACCAGCAUUAAGGCGCUGAAUGUGUUCUGCUAAAGAGCUGACCUUGUUGUUUCUUUACAGCUCUCUGCCUCGCAAGCCCAGCACCGAGCCAGCUAUCCAGCUAUCCUCUCAUCCAUCCAUCCAUCCAUCCAGCCAGCCCGCCCGCCAGCCAGCCAGGCCGGCCCUUCCCUGCCCAGAACUGGCAACCCGCAGGAGUCAUCAGGGUUAGUGCGCCUUUGGCAGGCCUCUGUGCCAAAACCAUCUGUAAGCAUCAGGCACAAAGUGGUAAAUUUAUGGAUCUGCACUUAAUCCGAAGGCCAGACAAUCAAAAAUAUACAUUAAAAGAAGAGAAUGGGCUGAACUUGAGCCUUUCAUAAGACACUCGAAUGGCUGCAGAUUUAUAACCUCAGUGGAGAUUGAAGUGGUGACCAUUUUUUUUUGUGUGUUUUACCGUCAUAUUUUAUAAGUAUCUUUGGCUCAAGAAGAACACUGACACCUAAGGUCCUUAAUUCAUGUCUAACAAACCACGUCACUAAUGACACAAGUCAAAUAUAAUAUCUGUAGGUAAGAGCAGCUAAAGAGGUGUGUACCCUCUUACCUUCUUAAAGUCCAAUACUUCGGUACAGAGAUAAGCAGCAUACUCUCAUUUACAUACCCUCUAUUUCUUCAUUUGGUUUUAGGAUACACACACACACACACACACACACACACACACACACACACACACUGCAGAUUAUAAGCAACACUGGAUUAAGUUAAAGCUGCGCUGUUUUGCUAAUAAUUCAAAUACUGCAAGUGCUAGCAUUUUCUGCAGUUCAUCAGGGAGACGCUGUAAAAAGACAAAGCUGAACUAAAUGACUACCAGCGCUCAGGCCUUAUCGCAACUGUGUGGGUGUGUGGCUCGGGUGCUCAUGUAAGAGAGAGAGAGAAAGAGAGAGAGAAGUGUAUGUGAAUGUGCGUGCACCGAGACGUAAAUGUGACAGCCGAGGGUCUGGCUUACACACUGAAAUCUCUGCUGAGGCUUCUAAUGCAUUUGUCGAGCGGGGAUGUGAUUUCAGUAUUCAGUCGUACAGUAGAGAUACAGCAGAGCAAAAAAGCAGACAUACAUUUACAUUUAACACAUUUACAUUAUGUGACUGUUGAUGGAAAUAUAAAGGUGCGUGAACCUGAGAUACAGUACCUCUGCUUUUUUGUAUUAAUUACAGUGAAUAGAGCUUCUCUCUCCCUCCCUCUUUCUCUCUCUCUGUCGCUUUCUCUCAUUUCUCUGACACUCUGUCAAUAAUUUCUGUAUGGAAGUGAUGAAAAUAAUGUCCUUUAAUGCAGAUACUAGAACAAGAAGCAAGGAUAAAAGCAGGUAUUUCCCCCCUGAAAAUACAAUCACAGCAAAGAGUCGAAACUAACCAACUCACGAAAUACAAUUUGAAAAGACAGCAGAGAAUUCUUCAAGUAUUUUUUUUUAAUUUUUAGUUCUGAAAUAAUUAGAGUUUUCAAAACAGAGACCAGAUUAUUGUAUCUUUAUGAGAGAAAUGUGCACCUUUCAGAACAGUAUGGUUGUUAUUCGAUCUGUUAAUUAUGAGGUACUAAAACGCUUCAGAAAGCAGAAACCCGUGCUAAAGAGCUCCACUGCUAUGCCAGCAACAAUUUCAAAAUGUGCCCAUAAAAGAGAUGGAGUUAGAAAGGCCAGGUUGAAGACAUAAUCUUGUUUUGGUAACCUAUUUAAUUUGAAAGAUAUUGAUGUUCACCUUUGAGUAAAGGGAACAUGAGGACACAGCAGUCAGUGUGUGUGUGUGUGUGUGUGUGUGUGUGUGUGUUUCCCUCCGUGUAUGUUUUUUUGUGUGAGAGUGUGUACCAGUGUUCGGCAAAAGGCCUUUUAGAGUGGAGUAAGAAGGAAAUGGAUGCUUGGCACAUGCUCAGGCAGCAUCCUUAUCGCUGCUGCUCUCAGAGCUGACCACCACGGCUUCUUAAUAAUGGACACAAAACACAGAGUCAUUUCUAUUUAUGCGCUCACUAACACAUCUCACUCGACUGUGUGUUGCUACAGAUAACAUUAAGCACGAAAUGAUGUAUCAUUAUCCCCGAUGCUGCGCAUGUCGAUUGUACGUCAAUUAUUUUAUUUAAAGGAAAGGGGUUUCAUAAAGAAAACUGAAGAAGUUUGGAUUGCAGGUUUCUGUCUGGCUGGAGCAAACUAAUAUGGAAUAAAGGGUGUCAAACACAAUUUUGUCUGACAGGAGUGGAAGUCUGCUGUUUAAUAGUGUGGGUCUAAAAGGCAGAGAUGGGGAGGAUGUUCUCCACAGCAAAGCUUUCUGCCUCCCUGGCUUUCAUCCCAAGUGCCGACAACAGACGUCGUCAUUUUCCAACUCAAUUUACAGACGCAUUAGGAGAUGCUGAGGCGCGCCCAACUCUCUCAAAUGCAAUCAGUCUGCCUGUGUGUUUUAAGAGGAAAUUGAGGGUGCAAUCUUUAUUGACUUCUUUUUGACUUCUCCUCUUUUGUAGACUCAUUUCCCCCCACUAAAAUAAUUUCAACACAUAAACAGCUGCAUAUGGAUUUCUUCGUGACCACGCUUUACCGAUCCAUUUCCCCUUUUGACAACGUGAAAAAAGGCAAAAUGGAUGUUUAAGACGACUGUAAACUCAUCUCAUACAGAUUUAGAUUUAGUCAGAUUUGCUGAGGUAAGUGACGAAUAUAAAUACCAAGUUAAUCACUCUUAAAUCUCCACCAUUUUUACGUCCUUGUCCUCCUAAUAUGAGUCCAUAAAAAGUCAUUUUGAAAGUGUUUUCAUGACAUGAUUUAGAAUUAAUUAAUGAGAUAAUUUACCAAUAAAAAUGGUAAUAAUUUAAUGAUUUAAAUUAAUGUCACUUUUUUCUCUAGUACCUACAGAGGUGGCACUAAAGCUUGCCAAAUGUCAUGUUGAACGUAUUUUCACGUGAAGACUUUGCUGAUACAAUCUGAGUCCACGGAUCUGAUGCGAUGCUUCCCAUCUGCAUUUAAUGACAUCUGAUAUGUCUUUUUUUGCACUCAGAAAUUACCCAAUUUUUCAGGGUUUUGUUAAAUAUUUUAGUUGUUAAAUUGAUCUUCAGUUGACUUUACAAUAGCAUUAAAAAAAAGCUCUUUGAUUCCAGCUUAGUGAAACCUGCUGACACCCUAAAAGUCAGCUUCCCCCUCUCUCUCCAUGUAAUUGAUUUUACACCUUUGAGCCCCACAACAGCUUUCUGAGUGCACUUAGGGGAGAGAUUCAGGAAAAAGUCAGCUUGAGAGGAUCAUCCAUGUAGAUUUCAUCUCUCACACCCCUGCUGCCCACAGUCCUGGACUGCUAAUGUCCUGUCUGACCCACAGCUAAACAUCUGUCUUACUGGGGGCUUGUAUUAAAAAUGAAAAGAAAGAGGGAGGAUACAGGACAAAAGAGAGAGGCUGCGAAUGACAGAAAUGAGAGGAGGCGAUGUGGGGAAACAGGAAGAGCUAUGAAAGGAAUAAAAAAGAGAUGGUAUCUUUAAUUGUACAGUCCCAUCUUUCAAUUUCUUCAGUCUCUCAAAAUAUCACAAAACAUUCAUCGUCUUUUUCACCCUUCAUUUUCUCUCUGUAUCACCUCAUGUCUUGUACCAGCUGUUCACUCAUCUGUUUUACUUUUGAUCUCUUCUUUUCCUCCAUCUGAUUUUUCAAUCAAAUUCCUUCUUCCCUGCUUCACUUUUUUUGGCUUCCUCCCCUCCUCAUAUCUUUCCACUAUUUCUCGUUUUUUAGUUAGUGCUUUUUCCGAAUCACCCGCUUUGACCACAACGAACCGAUCACUCCCACAAAUGCGUAGCUUAGAUAUUGAUUAUCCCUCACGCGGUGGACGGUUAGACUGACAAAAUAUUAUUCUUAUGUGCCGUUAAGUGCGUGAAUCUCGCUAGCAAAUCUCCUUUCUGCUGUGCGGCAGUGUGGAUCUAUAGCAUUCAGGUGGUGGAGGUCUCUCGAAGCAUGUGGAUGGUAUCUUGAAACGAGGGGCUGGCUGCCAUAGCAACCAUAUGAUGAGGCUGGCAGGGCUAUUUAAAGGAAUUCAGCUGCUGCUCGCGUUCCCGUCAGCUUCACACGGGUCCAGUGAGAGACAAAGAAAAAGAUAUGAAUGCAAGAAAAUGCACGUCCCUGUAGCUCCACGCAAAAAUAUCAUGUCUGGAUUUAAAGCAGGGAGGAAGAAAAGAGUCAAAUGUACCAAAACUUAUAACAAUUAAAAUGAGUAUCUAAUUAUUGUACUAUUGGAACUGUGCUCAUACAUUUAAUUUCAUAUGCACUGUUGGGGGGUUUUAACAUCUUUUACUUUCCUUAACACCCUCUUUAGAAUCUGCUACGAUAAUUAGCUCAUCUCAUACCUCAGGAUCUUAUUCUGGUGCGAACACAUCAUGCUUAUUUUCAAUCCUUUCUUCGAAGUAUACAUGCAUAUCACAUUUGCGUGGAUGCAUACUGGUAAGUACAAUAUGAAAACAAAAUUCUUUGAUGUAGCCAAUCUCUUUUGUGAUGCAAAUCUUUGAAAUAAAUGCAAAGGUGAACACUAAAAUGUUAAGUUUAAUAUACAACAAACAAUUCUCUCUCUUCCACAGAGGUUUCUCUCAGUGGUCAGUAACACAUGAGGGGACAGGUGUAAGAGGAACGUCUGUGCACCUAGAAGAGCGAUCAAAGAAGGGCAGGGUUUACUAAACACAUAUUUGAUAGAUUCGUCUGUCUGUGAUUGAGUUUGGUUUGAGAAGAUUUACACCUGAAAGAAAAUGACAUUUAUUUCCCAUCUUCUAAUAAGAGUAUUAUGGUAUUUUAAGUUAACCUCCCAUGUGUCUCUGUCGACAUUGAACUAAUAAUAGGCAGUGCUUCCUGUCUAUUCUGCAGCUUUUAGUAGACAUCUGAGCCUCUUUCUACCUCUCUGUCUCUGCUUUUCACUUAAUAACCACUAACAAAAGAGCUGGAACAUCGAGUGCAGAUUAUAAAAGGUUUGUUUUCUCCAGUCAGCAAAUUAACAAUAGAUCAAAUAUUUACAUGGUGCUUUUUAUAGAAAUUGUUUCUACGAUUCCUGUUAAAUUUUAAAGAGAGGGUAUUCAAUUUCCAUCAAUACUCUGACAAGCGUAGAAUAUGUUAGCGAGGCUGUCCAAGUAGUGAGGGAGGCAAAUACUGUCCGAAGACAACACAAAUUUAUUGGGAGCUAUUUGUCCAUAACACUGAGUGGAAGAGUUUUAAGCAACCUUUUGUUAUAGUUUCAUCAUCUGAGUCAAAAUGACCAAGCAUUGGUUCUGUCUGAGAGGGUGGUUUUGUCCUCUUUGUUUGAUCAGUUUUUAAAAUAUUUUAAAAUAUACUUAAAAUACAUAAUGGCCUCUUUAUGUAUGAAACUUUAAAUAAUCAUGUUUUAAAAAUGAGCAUCAUCUAAAUUCCCAAAAUGAGACAUACUGGCUGACAGGUGAUUCUUCAGCGCCUAUAAAUGGAUGCCCUGGAUUUUCUACUCUUUUAUCAUGCUGAUAAUCUACAACAUUUUUAUAUGAAGUGCACGGUUUUUGGUUAAACUACAGGUGCUCUUUUAUCACUCAGCUUGCCCAGUAGGCUGUUCCAUAGCCAGUGAGAGCAGUCAAAAAGAUUUAAAGUGCUUCAUAGAAGCAAAAUUAUGAGUGACCUCUCUGGUAACACUCCCUCUGCUCUUCACUCUGCUCUUUAUCUCAUUCUAAUCCUAACUCAUUUCAUAUGCUAAGUAAAAGCUUAUAUCCCUCUUCACUGUACAUACACACACAUCCCUCAUCCUCUGCUGUGAUUAUAAAAUUAGCAUAGAGGAUGUUGUUGGAGCUGUAGAGAGCUGAAGCAGGGGGGUUGUGGGUGGUCUAAAGCCUGUCAGGUGUAUAGAGGUGGGGCAGAGAUUCCCAGAAUCCCUCCUAUCUGGAUUAUGAAGAGAGCUCAACAAGAGAAACCCAGAGAAAGUUCCCCCAUGCCACUCUCCUCUGUUUAAUGGUUUCCGCUGAAUCUAAUUUGCCUGUUCUCUUUUCACAGCUGCCACAGAUGUAGUGAAGAUUAGGAAAGAGGAUGAGGGAGAGCUGACUCUCACCCCCAAGAGGUUGCAGUGAGAUGGAACCAGUUAUCUGCCCUCUGAUGAAAAACCACCUCCACCAUCAUAGCGCCAUCUGCUGGCUCGGUAGGGCAAGACAGCUGGUGUUGUGAAUCAGGC